This 274-nucleotide ribosomal RNA is filed under the name uncultured bacterium. RNAcentral describes it as "partial 16S ribosomal RNA". It matches the Rfam family "Archaeal small subunit ribosomal RNA", at positions 473 to 747 of the family's 1478-position model. The record is from RNAcentral.
AAACCAGCACCUCAAGUGGUCAGGAGGAUUAUUGGGCCUAAAGCAUCCGUAGCCUGUUCUGUAAGUUUCCGGUUAAAUCCAUUAGCUCAACUAAUGGGCCGCCGAAAAUACUGUAGAACUAGGGAGUGGGAGAGGUAGACGGUAUUCGGUAGGAAGGGGUAAAAUCCUUUGAUCUAUUGAGGACCACCUGUGGCGAAGGCGGUCUACCAGAACACGUUCGACGGUGAGGGAUGAAAGCUGGGGGAGCAAACCGGAUUAGAAACCCCGGUAGUCC